UUUGUUGACCGUUGCCACUUUGGAGAGACCAUCAAUCACAUAAGAUAUUUCAAAAUUAUCCACAAAACAUAUAUUUGUUUUUUCGGCAUCGCUUCGACAUUGUUGCGGAGUGCGUGGAUCUUGACCAAGUAAAUCAGUAACAGUCUAUAAGAGUGCUGUAAAAUAUGUUUCAUAAAGUGUUAUUUUUUACUUGAAGAAAGUCGUCGCAUGAUGAGAAAAAUUGAAAAGGUGAAAUUCCUCCUUGUUUUGAUAUCUUUUCACCUUUUCUACCACUCUGUGUCCAUUGUAUGAGUUCGUGUAGCUUGUCUAAAACGCCUUCAGCAAAUUUUACUUUAACCCUAGCUUCAGCAUCCGGAAUCCACGUGUUCCAUCUACCAGGUCUAAACCACUAAUCAUAACUUCAUUACAAAGUACACGGUCUAUUUUGACUAAAGAAAGACCGAUGGGAGAAGGUCUAGUUAAAUACAAAUAAUUAAUAUUGCAAUAUAAACAUGCUGCAACCUGUGCGGGGAUCGGGUUGCGAAAACUCCCUUACGAUUUCCUUGUAAUUUAGGAAGCCGUACCUUUCCCUUUAUUGAUUCACUGUGCCCAAUGUGGAAAACCCAUAUUAACCAACAUGAAUUCAAUAACUCCUUUCGCUUUUGAUACUAGGAGACCUAAUAGAACAUACAAGAGGAUCUACAACAAAAAAUAAAAAAAAAAAUACCUUGUCUUGGAACUCCAUACUUGGUUCUGAAACAACUACGUACAAUUCCAAUAUAUUUAGCAGUUAAAGAAUUUUUAGAUGAACGUUCAAAGGCUUGGGGAAACUCUUCUGGUUUUAGUUUUUCAUGAGUAUUAAAUCCGGUUUUGCUCGAUUUUUUGAAAUUAGUAAAUACUACAUUCAGAUGUCCUGAUCUAAGUGACUCCAUUUUCAAUUUGUUGUCAUUGAAAACCUCUAUAUUUGAACACUAACAAGCAGUAAGCAAAAAAUGCCUUAUCUUUACAAAAACUACUUUUGAGUACCCAUUCACAUUCACGAGGAAGAGCACAACCAUUAUCCAAAAAGGUCGCGUUAACCCAAGAGCUUACAUAGAUUCUUUUCGCACGUUGGUGAGAAUACUCUCAGUUAAUUCUUGAGCUUUUGCAAUGUUAAAUUCUCGGGAUCCCUUAUUUUCUCGAAAUGAAUAUUCGAGAGGAAAGGUGGAUGUUAAUAAACCCAUAAUUAUACCAUACUUUGAUGCUACAAAUUUGAUACUACUUAAGGGAAACAUCGAAAUGUUAAAUUCAUGCUUAUAGUUGAUGCAAAAAAGCCUGAAUUAUAACGUUCCGGGAAUUGCAUAACGUGCCUUCUAAGGACAUGAUUGAUUUUAAUUGUGUGCUACGCUUUGGAAGAUCUUUAAAUAACUACAUUUGAAAGUGGACUACAGGGAAACUGUACCAGCACAGAAUUUAUAAAAUUAUCAUUUUAGCAGCAUUGCAACUCACAUCUUGGGUAUAUGCAUAAACAAAACCAAUAAUGAUAAAAAUAAUGAGAUUUUCAAAGUUUUAUUUAGUCUUAGCGGUUCAAAAAUAUGUAAUGACAAAGUAUUGUAUUUCUUGAUUGAAACACAUCACUUGUUACUCGAAAAGUUCUCGCCUAUAAGCAAAGCUGUAAAUCAGUGUACAUGUACUUAUUAGCUACAAACUAAGCUUGGAACAUAAUAAAAUUAAUAAAAUAUAAGCAAAGCAUACAGAGGUAGUGAUACAUGAGUGGUAAUACUCUUUUAAAAACUGUUGAUGUUCCUCCGAAUCAAACGCUUUUUUGUUAUAAUUUAACGACAAAGGUGAAAAUUCAGCAAUUAAGAAGUUGUCUUUUUGAAUUUUUUUCUCCACACGGGAAAAUCAUAGAUGUUAUCGCUUCGAAAAGGGAUCCGAAAAAACGUGGUAAUGCUUUCAUCGUAUUUUCAAACAUAGUGGGUGCAACGACAUCUCUUCGAUCUUUACAAGGAAAGAUUUUUCUUGGGCGUCAAUUACACAUUUCAUAUGCAAAAACAAAAUCCGAUAAAGUAGCUUUGUUGGACGGAACCUACCGUAUGAAGAAACCCUUGCUUACAUCUGAAAUUUCUACUAAAUUUAAUAAUGAUAAGGAUGAAGAUUUACAUAUGCCUAAAGUACCUGCACAAGCCACAUUAUUUGUCCAAAACCUUCCUGAUACGAUCACAGAGACAGCACUUACUAUUUUAUUUAAACAAUAUCCGGGCUUUCAAGAGGUUCGAUUGAUCCAAGGCCGAGCUAUCGCUUUUGUCGAUUUCGGAAAUGAACUACAAGCAGAAAUAGCAAUUAAAGGUUUAGACAACUUUUUAGUAACACCUGACAAAGCGCUUAAAUUAUCCUUUGUCCAAUUAAAGCGUUAACAAUUGUAUCUUCACUUGUUAUUCUCAUUUUAGAAAACUGUACAACAUUCGUUUAUUUAUUGUUUUCUACCAUUUUUCUUGAUUUUUUUGUAUUUUUUUAUCCUACUGAUUGUUAAGCUAAAAACCGUUGUUUGCUUGGCUGACAUAAGUUAUUCACGACAAAGUUUUGUCCACAUGCUUCCUACAUCAAAAAAACUUCGUUCGCGUCACUCAAAUUAUACUAAACAUAAACUAUUGUAUAAAUUUA
Molecule: RNA transcript, 2622 nt
Organism: Hylaeus volcanicus
Lineage: Eukaryota; Metazoa; Arthropoda; Insecta; Hymenoptera; Colletidae
Gene name: U1 small nuclear ribonucleoprotein A-like
Exons: 7
Source: RefSeq, a predicted model, not a curated record